Molecule: ribosomal RNA, 253 nt
Filed under: uncultured bacterium
Lineage: Bacteria
Description: partial 16S ribosomal RNA
Rfam family: Bacterial small subunit ribosomal RNA
Source: RNAcentral
CACGUAGGGUGCGAGCGUUGUCCGGAAUUACUGGGCGUAAAGCGUGCGCAGGCGGGCUUUUAAGCCAGACGUGAAAUCCCCGGGCUUAACCUGGGAAUGGCGUUUGGGACUGGAAGUCUGGAGUGCGGCAGAGGAGACUGGAAUUCCUGGUGUAGCAGUGAAAUGCGUAGAUAUCAGGAGGAACACCGAUGGCGAAGGCAGGUCUCUGGGCUGACACUGACGCUCAUGCACGAAAGCGUGGGGAGCAAACAGG